GGGCGUUAAGUUGCAGGGUAUAGACCCGAAACCCGGUGAUCUAGCCAUGGGCAGGUUGAAGGUUGGGUAACACUAACUGGAGGACCGAACCGACUAAUGUUGAAAAAUUAGCGGAUGACCUGUGGCUGGGGGUGAAAGGCCAAUCAAACCGGGAGAUAGCUGGUUCUCCCCGAAAGCUAUUUAGGUAGCGCCUCGUGAAUUCAUCUCCGGGGGUAGAGCACUGUUUCGGCUAGGGGGCCAUCCCGGCUUACCAACCCGAUGCAAACUGCGAAUACCGGAGAAUGUUAUCACGGGAGACACACGGCGGGUGCUAACGUCCGUCGUGAAGAGGGAAACAACCCAGACCGCCAGCUAAGGUCCCAAAGUCAUGGUUAAGUGGGAAACGAUGUGGGAAGGCCCAGACAGCCAGGAUGUUGGCUUAGAAGCAGCCAUCAUUUAAAGAAAGCGUAAUAGCUCACUGGUCGAGUCGGCCUGCGCGGAAGAUGUAACGGGGCUAAACCAUGCACCGAAGCUGCGGCAGCGACGCUGAUGCGUUGUUGGGUAGGGGAGCGUUCUGUAAGCCUGUGAAGGUGGCCUGUGAGGGUUGCUGGAGGUAUCAGAAGUGCGAAUGCUGACAUAAGUAACGAUAAAGCGGGUGAAAAGCCCGCUCGCCGGAAGACCAAGGGUUCCUGUCCAACGUUAAUCGGGGCAGGGUGAGUCGACCCCUAAGGCGAGGCCGAAAGGCGUAGUCGAUGGGAAACGGGUUAAUAUUCCCGUACUUGGUGUUACUGCGAAGGGGGGACGGAGAAGGCUAUGUUGGCCGGGCGACGGUUGUCCCGGUUUAAGCGUGUAGGUGUGUGUUCCAGGUAAAUCCGGUUCACUUUAACACUGAGGCGUGAUGACGAGGCACUACGGUGCUGAAGCAACAAAUGCCCUGCUUCCAGGAAAAGCCUCUAAGCAUCAGGUAACAUCAAAUCGUACCCCAAACCGACACAGGUGGUCAGGUAGAGAAUACCAAGGCGCUUGAGAGAACUCGGGUGAAGGAACUAGGCAAAAUGGUGCCGUAACUUCGGGAGAAGGCACGCUGACACGUAGGUGAAGUGAUUUACUCAUGGAGCUGAAGUCAGUCGAAGAUACCAGCUGGCUGCAACUGUUUAUUAAAAACACAGCACUGUGCAAACACGAAAGUGGACGUAUACGGUGUGACGCCUGCCCGGUGCCGGAAGGUUAAUUGAUGGGGUCAGCGCAAGCGAAGCUCCUGAUCGAAGCCCCGGUAAACGGCGGCCGUAACUAUAACGGUCCUAAGGUAGCGAAAUUCCUUGUCGGGUAAGUUCCGACCUGCACGAAUGGCGUAAUGAUGGCCAGGCUGUCUCCACCCGAGACUCAGUGAAAUUGAACUCGCUGUGAAGAUGCAGUGUACCCGCGGCAAGACGGAAAGACCCCGUGAACCUUUACUAUAGCUUGACACUGAACAUUGAGCCUUGAUGUGUAGGAUAGGUGGGAGGCUUUGAAGUGUGGACGCCAGUCUGCAUGGAGCCGGCCUUGAAAUACCACCCUUUAAUGUUUGAUGUUCUAACGUGGACCCGUGAUCCGGGUUGCGGACAGUGUCUGGUGGGUAGUUUGACUGGGGCGGUCUCCUCCUAAAGAGUAACGGAGGAGCACGAAGGUUGGCUAAUCCUGGUCGGACAUCAGGAGGUUAGUGCAAUGGCAUAAGCCAGCUUGACUGCGAGCGUGACGGCGCGAGCAGGUGCGAAAGCAGGUCAUAGUGAUCCGGUGGUUCUGAAUGGAAGGGCCAUCGCUCAACGGAUAAAAGGUACUCCGGGGAUAACAGGCUGAUACCGCCCAAGAGUUCAUAUCGACGGCGGUGUUUGGCACCUCGAUGUCGGCUCAUCACAUCCUGGGGCUGAAGUAGGUCCCAAGGGUAUGGCUGUUCGCCAUUUAAAGUGGUACGCGAGCUGGGUUUAGAACGUCGUGAGACAGUUCGGUCCCUAUCUGCCGUGGGCGCUGGAGAACUGAGGGGGGCUGCUCCUAGUACGAGAGGACCGGAGUGGACGCAUCACUGGUGUUCGGGUUGUCAUGCCAAUGGCACUGCCCGGUAGCUAAAUGCGGAAGAGAUAAGUGCUGAAAGCAUCUAAGCACGAAACUUGCCCCGAGAUGAGUUCUCCCUGAGACUUAGAGUCUCCUGAAGGAACGUUGAAGACGACGACGUUGAUAGGCCGGGUGUGUAAGCGCAGCGAUGCGUUGAGCUAACCGGUACUAAUGAACCGUGAGGCUUAACCUUACAACGCCGAAG
This 2272-nucleotide ribosomal RNA is filed under the name Salmonella enterica. RNAcentral's name for it is "bacterial LSU rRNA". It matches the Rfam family "Bacterial large subunit ribosomal RNA", at positions 690 to 2925 of the family's 2925-position model. RNAcentral also lists the same sequence under 1 other name. Lineage: Bacteria; Pseudomonadati; Pseudomonadota; Gammaproteobacteria; Enterobacterales; Enterobacteriaceae. The record is from RNAcentral.